GAGACAUUAGUAAAACCAUUACAUAACCUUGUCAAGGCUAAAUCACAGGUGAAACCCCUGUAUGUCUCA
This 69-nucleotide transfer RNA is filed under the name Pomatorhinus ruficollis (streak-breasted scimitar babbler). Its description in RNAcentral is "tRNA-Asp". It matches the Rfam family "tRNA". From Rfam's summary of the family: Transfer RNA (tRNA) molecules are approximately 80 nucleotides in length. Lineage: Eukaryota; Metazoa; Chordata; Aves; Passeriformes; Timaliidae. The record is from RNAcentral.